Molecule: ribosomal RNA, 429 nt
Filed under: Actinomycetes bacterium
Lineage: Bacteria; Bacillati; Actinomycetota; Actinomycetes
Description: Actinobacteria bacterium partial 16S ribosomal RNA
Rfam family: Bacterial small subunit ribosomal RNA
Source: RNAcentral
UAGGGAAUCUUCCGCAAUGGGCGAAAGCCUGACGGAGCAACGCCGCGUGAGUGAUGAAGGUCUUCGGAUCGUAAAACUCUGUUAUUAGGGAAGAACAAAUGUGUAAGUAACUAUGCACGUCUUGACGGUACCUAAUCAGAAAGCCACGGCUAACUACGUGCCAGCAGCCGCGGUAAUACGUAGGUGGCAAGCGUUAUCCGGAAUUAUUGGGCGUAAAGCGCGCGUGGGCGGUUUUUUAAGUCUGAUGUGAAAGCCCACGGCUCAACCGUCGAGGGUCCUUUGAAACCGGAAAACUUGAGUGCAGAAUAGGAGAGUGGAAUUCCAUUUGUAGCGGUGAAAUGCGCAUAGAUAUGGAAGAACACCAGUUGCGAAGGCGACUUUCUGGGCCGUAACUGACGCAGAUGUGCUAAAGCAAGGGGAUCAAAGAGG